GUCCUUAACGCACAGGGGCCAGCCGUAAAGACCACCAGCCGUUGGCGCAACCAUUGGGCCAAGAUGGCCCAUAAAGCGAAAAAAUAAGCGGCCAGGGCAGCGAGCGAGAAGAGGGCUACUGGAGGUGGCAAAGUGGGUGGCGUCGACGGCCGCGUCCUCGACGUCCUUAUGAGGACAGGAGGGGUCCUUGUUUCCCCCCCUGAGUACUUCGCCGAUAGCGAGGACGACGCAAGUUCAGAGGAAGCUGCAGGGCCCAGCG
Molecule: long non-coding RNA, 259 nt
Organism: Dermacentor andersoni
Lineage: Eukaryota; Metazoa; Arthropoda; Arachnida; Ixodida; Ixodidae
Source: RefSeq, a predicted model, not a curated record